UUCCAGCUCCAAUAGCGUAUAUUAAAGUUGUUGCGGUUAAAAAGCUCGUAGUUGAAUUUGUGUCCCGCACUGUCGGUUCACCGCCCGCGGUGCUAACUGGCAUGUUUGCGGGACGUCCUGCCGGUGGAUGUUCAGUAGUGAUUGACUUUCGGGUCUUUUACUAUUUCAUCCGACUUAUAAUCCUGUCGCGGUGCUCUUAACUGAGUGUCGAGGCGGGCCGGCACGUUUACUUUGAACAAAUUAGAGUGCUCAAAGCAGGCUAAUUAAUGCCUGAAUAAUUAGUGCAUGGAAUAAUGAAACAGGACCUUGGUUCUAUUUUGUUGGUUUCCGGAACCCCAAGGUAAUGAUUAAUAGGGACAGAUGG
RNAcentral lists this ribosomal RNA (364 nucleotides) under Pterostichus aterrimus. RNAcentral describes it as "SSU rRNA". It matches the Rfam family "Eukaryotic small subunit ribosomal RNA", at positions 583 to 885 of the family's 1831-position model. The record is from RNAcentral. Lineage: Eukaryota; Metazoa; Arthropoda; Insecta; Coleoptera; Carabidae.